RNAcentral lists this ribosomal RNA (387 nucleotides) under Phoma sp. EF-40-1. RNAcentral's name for it is "partial 28S ribosomal RNA". The stretch from base 242 to 387 matches the Rfam family "5.8S ribosomal RNA". The record is from RNAcentral. Lineage: Eukaryota; Fungi; Ascomycota; Dothideomycetes; Pleosporales; Didymellaceae.
CACUUUUGACCUCGGAUCAGGUAGGGAUACCCGCUGAACUUAAGCAUAUCAAUAAGCGGAGGAGAUCAUUACCUUUCAAUGCAGCAUAAUUGGGAUGGUUGAGUAUCUCGCCUCUCAGUUCUGCCUGUAUUCUACCCUUGUUUGUCAUAUACUAUUAUUUCCUCGGCAGGCUUGCCUGCCGAGUGAAACCAUUUAUAACCUUUUUUAUUUUUAAUCGCGUCUGAAAAAAAUUAAUAAUUACUACUUUUCACAACGGAUCUCUUGGUUCGGCAUCAUGAAGAACGCACGAAAUGGAUUAAGUAGUGUGAAAUGCCAAAAUAGUGAAUCUCCAACCUUUAAAACACAUUGCGCCCUGGGUUUUCCUGGGGGAUGCGUUUCGGCGUUUUU